GGCAGGCGUGCAGGGGCAAGGCAGGUGCGUAAGAGCGAGGCAGAUGCGCAGGUGCGCGGACCAGGUGAGGGCGAACGGGGAACUGCCUGAGCUCCGAGCCCGGAAGCUUCAAAAUCAGAACGAGGAAGGUCGGUGAGGAGGCCACGCUCGCGGGACGGGGGCAGGAAGCGCAGCCGGAGCUGCAGAUCUCGGCCGCGCCCCGCGGGCUCCAAUCCCGAGCGUCCCCCGCACGCGCAGCCGCGCUCGCCCGCGGGGCCUAAGGGCUGCUCAGGGCGGAGACCCCGUAGCCAGCCUCCAGCAUCGCCUCCUCUGGGAUCUUCUCUGACUUCCCAGUCGGUUUCAGAAGCCUCUGAUGACCCCAUGCGGAGAAGACUGCUCCCCUCACUGCUGGCACACGGCAGAUGCUCAACACUUGCUCCAGCUUCGCCUUCCGCCGCGAGUUGAAGCUCCCCGAGGCCUCCUCAGAAGCAGAAGCCACCACGCUUCCUGUACAGCCUGUGGGACCCGGAGCCAGUUCAACCUCUUUUCUUUAUAAAUUACCCAGACUCGGCCGGGCACGGUGGCUCACGCCUGUAAUCCCAGCACUUUGUUGAGACCGAGGCAGGCAGAUCACGAGGUCAGGAGAUCGAGAACAUCCUGGCUAACACGGUGAAACCCCGUCUCUACUAAAAAUACAAAAAAUUAGCCGGGCGUGGUGGCGGGCGCCUGUGGUCCCAGCUACUCGGGAGGCUGAGGCAGGAGAAUGGUGUGAACCCGGG
This 758-nucleotide long non-coding RNA is filed under the name Homo sapiens (human). RNAcentral describes it as "HSALNT0246606". The record is from RNAcentral. Lineage: Eukaryota; Metazoa; Chordata; Mammalia; Primates; Hominidae.